GAAGUGUUUUGUGUGUGUGUGUGUGUGUGUGUGUGUGUGUGUGUAUGUGGUUGUUUCCUUUUCUUAAAGGUUCCCUUUAAGUAGCAGUUUCAGAUAAUAAUAACAAAGCAACUAUUCCUGGGGGCUUGCGGUGUGCCAGGUGCUGACUGCCCUACUGCUUUAUCUCUCUCAGUAUCCUGUGAAUUACUACAUAUUUAUCUCCAUUUUGCAGAAGGUGAAACAGUGAAGAAAAUAACUUAUUUAAGAUCAUGUGGUUAAGUCAGGGGCAGGCCCCUGCGCUGUCCAUGGCAGAGCCAUUCUGAUUUCUAGUCAUCUAUGUAACUGUGUUAAAUUCUAAUCAUUUCUAAUGCUUUUGUUUCUUUGCUUCUUUAGGAGAAGCCAAGAGAACCUUGAGGCAGAUGCGCUAAAGGCAGGGAGGCGCCAGCACAGGACGCACCCCCACCACCAGGCCCCAGCCAUCCAGAAACAACUGGAAAGACAGCCUUCACACUAAGUGAACUAGAAGCUGUCCAGGAUCAAACAAACAAACAAGCAAACAAACAAACAAGUGAGUUUCAUUUGCAUUGCUCCCAGGAGGCCAGACACUUCGCUUCUCCCUUUCAAUUACCUUCUCUUACAGAGAGUUGCCCAGAGGAAUCUAAUUUCACCUCCAAUCAUUUUUUCCAUUACUUUUACUUAGGAAAAUAAAUAGCCAUCCCUUGUGCUGAGUACUCCAGAUGAAACUGUAGAACUGCUACCCAAUUGGAGGAAAAUGUUUGGUUUGCGGAGCCCAUUUACGUUUCUCGCGGUUCCUGUUUUUCAUAAUGUCAGGUUUGAAACCCCCAUACACACUAAUGACUGAGUCAUAAAUACACCAAAAAGUUGCUACGCGUUUCCGAAAGUUAGUUCCUGGGUGUCUACUUGUAACUCUUUUCAAAGUGCUUUCCCCCACAAAGAAAAUACCAGCAGCAAUUAAAGCAGACAAAUGACUCAUUUGGGUGAAAGCAGUUUUCGAGUCAAGGGUGUUUAAAAGCAAAAGUUAUUUUUGAAAAAUCUUCACAAUCAGCUCUAAUUGGCAGCGCUGUUUCUUCUUAUUUUGCAUUAUUGUGAGGGUUUCAAGAGACCUCUUGGCCAUCGUGAUCCUCCCAUGUGUGGGCAGAGCGCGGAAUAAGGCACAGCCAGCCUGGUGGGCUUAAUCCUACAGAACAGUGAUUCUGGAAGUGUUGCCCUGGUGCCCACCUGCACCAGAAUUACCUGAGAAGAGGAGGCGCUCAUCUAAAACGCAGAGUGUGGGCCCCCUCACCCCCACCCCUACCCCAGACCAGCUCCAUCAGAAUCUCUGGAGUUUGAGCAGUGGAAAUUGGCA
This 1345-nucleotide long non-coding RNA is filed under the name Vulpes vulpes (red fox). Its description in RNAcentral is "lncRNA (ENSVVUG00000004808.1)". The record is from RNAcentral. Lineage: Eukaryota; Metazoa; Chordata; Mammalia; Carnivora; Canidae.